This 155-nucleotide long non-coding RNA is filed under the name Apteryx rowi (Okarito brown kiwi). RNAcentral's name for it is "lncRNA (ENSARWG00000010354.1)". The record is from RNAcentral. Lineage: Eukaryota; Metazoa; Chordata; Aves; Apterygiformes; Apterygidae.
AUGGCUGCUAAGAAAAGGGAAAGGAUGCAAGGGAGGAUACUGCACCUCUGCAUGCUUCUCUCCAGCCUCCACUGGUGCUGUGUUUGUCCUGACAUAGCCUGGCACAGCAAGGCGAUGCAUGGCUUGACCGACAACCCUCCAGAGAAAAAGCAAGA